RNAcentral lists this ribosomal RNA (423 nucleotides) under uncultured eukaryotic phytoplankton. RNAcentral's name for it is "bacterial SSU rRNA". It matches the Rfam family "Bacterial small subunit ribosomal RNA", at positions 358 to 795 of the family's 1533-position model. The record is from RNAcentral.
GGAAUUUUCCGCAAUGGGCGAAAGCCUGACGGAGCAAUACCGCGUGAGGGAAGACUGCCUAUGGGUUGUAAACCUCUUUUUUCAGGGAGGAAUCAAUGACGUGUACCUGAAGAAUAAGCAUCGGCUAACUCCGUGCCAGCAGCCGCGGUAAGACGGAGGAUGCAAGUGUUAUCCGGAAUCACUGGGCGUAAAGCGUCUGUAGGUGGUUUAAUAAGUCAACUGUUAAAUCUUGAGGCUCAACUUCAAAAUCGCAGUCGAAACUAUUAGACUAGAGUAUAGUAGAGGUAAAGGGAAUUUCCAGUGGAGCGGUGAGAUGCGUAGAUAUUGGAAAGAACACCGAUGGCGAAGGCACUUUACUGGGCUAUUACUGACACUCAGAGACGAAAGCUAGGGUAGCAAAUGGGAUUAGAUACCCCUGUAGUC